Non-coding RNA from Chlorocebus sabaeus (green monkey), 2162 nucleotides. The record is from RefSeq and is a predicted model, not a curated record. Lineage: Eukaryota; Metazoa; Chordata; Mammalia; Primates; Cercopithecidae.
UCCAGCCUGGGCAACAGAGCAAGACUCUGUCUCCAAAAAAGAAAAAAAGACAAAGAAAAAAGAAAAAAAAAGAAUAUCUGCUUCUGGGGAACUGAUGAGGCUUGAUCUUUUGGAGUUAGAUCUUCCCUCCUCUGUGGCUCAGACCCAAUCCAAACUGGAGGCUGCAGUGGGGAAGGAAAACACUGUUCUUUUUACUCUUUUCUGCUCACCUUCUUUCUCCCCUCUCCCAUACAGCUGCUGUUUCACUCUUUGCCAGAGUCUAAGGUAGGUGAGGUGCGAAUGACGGGGUAGUUCAUACUUUGCUGAGUGGCUUUGUAUUAUCUGGGUCUGGCAAAUAUUUGAAGUGGAGACCCUAGUUAGGCCUAGCCAAUGCAGAAAGUACAUCUGUUCUUCCAUAGGAGCUUUGGAGGUUCCUGUGUGUUUUCUGUUCAUCCCCUUUCUCCCUCUUGCAGUUGUCUUGACCCAAGGUUGAUGCAUCUGGUUCCUAAGCCGACACCCCAAACAAGCAGAGAGUACAAGUGUGCACCUAUUCCACAUUCAUUACAAUGCAGGCACCUGAAAGGUGAGGAAAGAAUGGAAGGUAAUUCAAAUCGAUCCAUUGUUUUAUGCCUUGUGGGAAGGCUUGUCCCCCAGGAAUGUAAACUUAACUAGGGAGUUUUUUUAGUAAUCACAUUUACAAAAGUAAUGAAGCUAUUGGAUGGUCUUUUUUGAUUUAAAAACAAACAGACUCAUGAUAACUAAUUAAAUGGAGAAUCAAGAACCGUUUCAUAGUUCAGAUCAACACUGGGGUCUUAGUUCCUACCCACGUCUUCACUUUGGUGUUCCUGACUCUGUCAAGUGUCCUACUACCCCUGCCAUCCUGCCCUGACCAAAUUUUGUGUUCCAUAUUGUCUUAGUCCCUUCAGGUUACUAUAACAAAAUACCAUAAACUGGGUGGCUUAUAAACAACAGAACUUUAUUGUUUACAAUUCUAGAGGCUACAAAGUCCAAGAUCGAGGCACCUGCAGAUUAAGUGUCUAGUGAGGGCCAGCUUCCUGGUUCAGACAGUAUCUUCUCUCUGUGUCUCUACAUGGUGGAAGAGACAAAGCAGCUCUGUGAAGCCUCUUUAAGAAAGGCUCUAGUCUCAUUCAUGAAGACUCUAGCUUCAUGGCCUAAUCACCUCCCAAAGACCUAGCCUCCUAAUACCAUCAUCUUGGGGGUUAGGAUAUGAAUUUUGGGGGACACAGACUUUCAGACUAUAGAACACAUCUUUUCCAAUUCCCUUCUUUUCUCUCUCUCUUUUAUUGAAACUUAACAUUGCUUUGUCCCUCCACCCUCUAGCUCUCUGCCAAGUAUGCUGGGAGGAAAUUGUGAAUAGCUUAUAUCAGUCUGUGUUAAUGUGUGGUCAUUACUUGGACUGUCUUUUCCAGGGUGAUAGCUGUCACUAGAGGAAAUUGUGCAAUCCUAAAAGACAGAUUCUACUCAUUGGAAUUGCCUGAGAAUUUAUUCCCUUCAACUUGACAGUCUUGGAGGCUUAGAUUGUGUAUCAGGUCAAAAUGGGAUAAAUUAGAAUCUAUCUAUGUAGUUACAAUAAUGAGAAACUAGCAUGGCAAGUUUCAUUCUAAAAGAUCUUAGAUUACAAAUAGAUAUUUUUCUUAGAAGCAGCUGUUUAUUUACUGGCUACCCUGUGCUCAACACCAAGGACACAAAGGUAAACAGGCUACCAUCUUGCCUUCAAGGAGCUUCAUGGAAACAUGCAUUGUGCUUUGAAACACAACCAUCCAAAUCAUACCUGCACACGUCAUAAAGGUGAUGUAGAGGAGGCUGAGUCACCAACCAUUUACAUCUAUGAAACUGAUGAACUAUCGGGUUGGAAAAGUCAGGCAGUGGUGUGCUGGAGCCAACUUUCAUGAUUGUUUAUGACCGCCAAUUAUGAGCCUCUCUUCCCAACUCUGUACUCAGUUAUGUCCCAAUUAAUAGCUUGAAAUCAGCCAUGGUGGGAGAAUUUACACCACAGAAAUUGGUAAGUGCUUAUAAAUCAGAUAAAUCAGGGCUUCUUUUUGUUUCUAGAGAAGCAAAUGUUAAACAUUUACCAGCACACCACAAAAGUCAGGCUAGGGCUUUCUUCUUCUGACUUUCAUUUUGACUGCCAAUUCACUUUAGAGUGAACCAUUUAGCAUCUU